CCGAACUGGUUGUCGUUGAAAAGACUUCGGAUGACCUGAGGGUAGGGGUGAAAGGCCAAUCAAACUGGGAGAUAGCUCGUACUCCCCGAAAUGCAUUUAGGUGCAGCGUUGCGACAAGUUUAUUAGAGGUAGAGCUACUGAUUGGAUGCGGGGGUUUCAUCGCCUACCAAUUCCUGACAAACUCCGAAUGCUAAUAAAUGAUGUGCGGCAGUGAGGG
This 217-nucleotide ribosomal RNA is filed under the name Chaetoceros curvisetus. Its description in RNAcentral is "partial Bacterial large subunit ribosomal RNA". It matches the Rfam family "Bacterial large subunit ribosomal RNA", at positions 774 to 989 of the family's 2925-position model. Lineage: Eukaryota; Bacillariophyta; Thalassiosirophyceae; Chaetocerotales; Chaetocerotaceae. The record is from RNAcentral.